GACGAACGCUGGCGGCGUGCUUAACACAUGCAGGUCGAACGGAAAGGCCCUGCUUUUGUGGGGUGCUCGAGUGGCGAACGGGUGAGUAACACGUGAGUAACCUGCCCUUGACUUUGGGAUAACUUCAGGAAACUGGGGCUAAUACCGGAUAGGAGCUCCUGCUGCAUGGUGGGGGUUGGAAAGUUUCGGCGGUUGGGGAUGGACUCGCGGCUUAUCAGCUUGUUGGUGGGGUAGUGGCGUACCAAGGCUUUGACGGGUAGCCGGCCUGAGAGGGUGACCGGCCACAUUGGGACUGAGAUACGGCCCAGACUCCUACGGGAGGCAGCAGUGGGGAAUAUUGCACAAUGGGCGGAAGCCUGAUGCAGCAACGCCGCGUGCGGGAUGACGGCCUUCGGGUUGUAAACCGCUUUCGCCUGUGACGAAGCGUGAGUGACGGUAAUGGGUAAAGAAGCACCGGCUAACUACGUG
This 468-nucleotide ribosomal RNA is filed under the name uncultured bacterium. RNAcentral describes it as "partial 16S ribosomal RNA". It matches the Rfam family "Bacterial small subunit ribosomal RNA", at positions 28 to 507 of the family's 1533-position model. The record is from RNAcentral.